GGUGAGUAAUGUCUGGGAAACUGCCUGAUGGAGGGGGAUAACUACUGGAAACGGUAGCUAAUACCGCAUAACGUCGCAAGACCAAAGAGGGGGACCUUCGGGCCUCUUGCCAUCGGAUGUGCCCAGAUGGGAUUAGCUAGUAGGUGGGGUAACGGCUCACCUAGGCGACGAUCCCUAGCUGGUCUGAGAGGAUGACCAGCCACACUGGAACUGAGACACGGUCCAGACUCCUACGGGAGGCAGCAGUGGGGAAUAUUGCACAAUGGGCGCAAGCCUGAUGCAGCCAUGCCGCGUGUAUGAAGAAGGCCUUCGGGUUGUAAAGUACUUUCAGCGGGGAGGAAGGGAGUAAAGUUAAUACCUUUGCUCAUUGACGUUACC
This 378-nucleotide ribosomal RNA is filed under the name Escherichia coli. RNAcentral's name for it is "partial 16S ribosomal RNA". It matches the Rfam family "Bacterial small subunit ribosomal RNA", at positions 105 to 479 of the family's 1533-position model. Lineage: Bacteria; Pseudomonadati; Pseudomonadota; Gammaproteobacteria; Enterobacterales; Enterobacteriaceae. The record is from RNAcentral. RNAcentral also lists the same sequence under 1 other name.